GAUGAACGCUAGCUACAGGCUUAACACAUGCAAGUCGCGGGGCAGCAUGGGGGUUGCUUGCAAUCCCCGAUGGCGACCGGCGCACGGGUGAGUAACGCGUAUCCAACCUGCCCUUCACCACGGGAUAACCCGGCGAAAGUCGGACUAAUACCGUAUGUUGUCCAUUGACGGCAUCCGAUUUGGACGAACCGCCUGGCGGUUUAGGAUUGGGAUCCGUGCGAUGAGCUGGACGGCGGCCUGACGGCCCACCGUCGCGCCGAUCGGUCGGAGUUCUGAGAGGAAGGUCCCACACACUGGAACUGAGACACGGUCCAGACUCCUACGGGCGGCAGCAGUAAGGAAUAUUGGUGAAUGGGCGUAAGCCUGAACCAACCAAGUAGCGUGCAGGAUGCCGGCCAUAUGGGUUGUAAACUGCUUUUAUGCGGGGAUAAAGUGGCCCACGUGUGGGUUUUUGCAGGUACCGCAUGAAUAAGGACCGGCUAAUUCCGUG
This 490-nucleotide ribosomal RNA is filed under the name uncultured bacterium. RNAcentral describes it as "partial 16S ribosomal RNA". It matches the Rfam family "Bacterial small subunit ribosomal RNA", at positions 28 to 507 of the family's 1533-position model. The record is from RNAcentral.